AUCGUGCUUCUUUCUCUUCAACAGCUUCAUGACUUUCUUUGCAAUCCUGAGCUGCUGAGCAACUGAGCGAUUCCCCAGCGAACUACUUGGCAUCUCCAUCCGGGGUGUUGGUCCAUUCAACAAUGAUACGGUCGUUUAAACGAUCUUCGUACCAUACUGGAAAACUCAGACUGAAGAUUAUGGCAAAACCUUCUCUAUUUAUGCAAAUUCUUAUCACUGUACUACUUCUAUAACAAAUAAACGUGAGGUCACUUCACAUAAAAAAUAAAGGAUUAAACUAU
Caenorhabditis elegans is the source of this 281-nucleotide long non-coding RNA. Ensembl annotates it as ncRNA. Its record names the gene linc-55. Lineage: Eukaryota; Metazoa; Nematoda; Chromadorea; Rhabditida; Rhabditidae. The record is from Ensembl.